RNAcentral lists this ribosomal RNA (395 nucleotides) under uncultured Macrococcus sp. RNAcentral's name for it is "bacterial SSU rRNA". It matches the Rfam family "Bacterial small subunit ribosomal RNA", at positions 987 to 1382 of the family's 1533-position model. The record is from RNAcentral. Lineage: Bacteria; Bacillati; Bacillota; Bacilli; Caryophanales; Staphylococcaceae.
UCCUUUGACAACUCUAGAGAUAGAGCUUCCCCUUCGGGGGACAAAGUGACAGGUGGUGCAUGGUUGUCGUCAGCUCGUGUCGUGAGAUGUUGGGUUAAGUCCCGCAACGAGCGCAACCCUUAUCUUUAGUUGCCAUCAUUAGGUUGGGCACUCUAGAGAGACUGCCGGUGACAAACCGGAGGAAGGUGGGGAUGACGUCAAAUCAUCAUGCCCCUUAUGAUUUGGGCUACACACGUGCUACAAUGGAUGGUACAAAGGGCAGCAAAACCGCGAGGUCAAGCAAAUCCCAUAAAACCAUUCUCAGUUCGGAUUGUAGUCUGCAACUCGACUACAUGAAGCUGGAAUCGCUAGUAAUCGUAGAUCAGCAUGCUACGGUGAAUACGUUCCCGGGUCUU